GACGAACGCUGGCGGCGUGCCUAAUACAUGCAAGUAGAACGCUGAAGAGAGGAGCUUGCUCUUCUUGGAUGAGUUGCGAACGGGUGAGUAACGCGUAGGUAACCUGCCUUGUAGCGGGGGAUAACUAUUGGAAACGAUAGCUAAUACCGCAUAACAAUGGAUGACCCAUGUCAUUUAUUUGAAAGGGGCAAAUGCUCCACUACAAGAUGGACCUGCGUUGUAUUAGCUAGUAGGUGAGGUAACGGCUCACCUAGGCGACGAUACAUAGCCGACCUGAGAGGGUGAUCGGCCACACUGGGACUGAGACACGGCCCAGACUCCUACGGGAGGCAGCAGUAGGGAAUCUUCGGCAAUGGGGGCAACCCUGACCGAGCAACGCCGCGUGAGUGAAGAAGGUUUUCGGAUCGUAAAGCUCUGUUGUAAGUCAAGAACGAGUGUGAGAGUGGAAAGUUCACACUGUGACGGUAGCUUACCAGAAAGGGACGGCCAACUACGUGCCAGCAGCCGCGGUAAUACGUAGGUCCCGAGCGUUGUCCGGAUUUAUUGGGCGUAAAGCGAGCGCAGGCGGUUUGAUAAGUCUGAAGUUAAAGGCUGUGGCUCAACCAUAGUUCGCUUUGGAAACUGUCAAACUUGAGUGCAGAAGGGGAGAGUGGAAUUCCAUGUGUAGCGGUGAAAUGCGUAGAUAUAUGGAGGAACACCGGUGGCGAAAGCGGCUCUCUGGUCUGUAACUGACGCUGAGGCUCGAAAGCGUGGGGAGCGAACAGGAUUAGAUACCCUGGUAGUCCACGCCGUAAACGAUGAGUGCUAGGUGUUGGAUCCUUUCCGGGAUUCAGUGCCGCAGCUAACGCAUUAAGCACUCCGCCUGGGGAGUACGACCGCAAGGUUGAAACUCAAAGGAAUUGACGGGGGCCCGCACAAGCGGUGGAGCAUGUGGUUUAAUUCGAAGCAACGCGAAGAACCUUACCAGGUCUUGACAUCCCGAUGCUAUUUCUAGAGAUAGAAAGUUACUUCGGUACAUCGGUGACAGGUGGUGCAUGGUUGUCGUCAGCUCGUGUCGUGAGAUGUUGGGUUAAGUCCCGCAACGAGCGCAACCCCUAUUGUUAGUUGCCAUCAUUCAGUUGGGCACUCUAGCGAGACUGCCGGUAAUAAACCGGAGGAAGGUGGGGAUGACGUCAAAUCAUCAUGCCCCUUAUGACCUGGGCUACACACGUGCUACAAUGGUUGGUACAACGAGUUGCGAGUCGGUGACGGCAAGCUAAUCUCUUAAAGCCAAUCUCAGUUCGGAUUGUAGGCUGCAACUCGCCUACAUGAAGUCGGAAUCGCUAGUAAUCGCGGAUCAGCACGCCGCGGUGAAUACGUUCCCGGGCCU
This 1369-nucleotide ribosomal RNA is filed under the name uncultured bacterium. RNAcentral describes it as "bacterial SSU rRNA". It matches the Rfam family "Bacterial small subunit ribosomal RNA", at positions 28 to 1381 of the family's 1533-position model. The record is from RNAcentral.